This is a long non-coding RNA of Bacillus rossius redtenbacheri, 3144 nucleotides long. RefSeq lists it as uncharacterized. NCBI's taxonomy places the organism in Eukaryota, Metazoa, Arthropoda, Insecta, Phasmatodea, Bacillidae. The record is from RefSeq and is a predicted model, not a curated record. The transcript has 3 exons.
UCAAAGACCCAAUAAUUAAAAAAUUUCGGAAAAUUUCCAAAAGCCUAUUCUCUUUCGAUUUGGAGUGUUUACGAGCCAUUCGUGGUCCUCAACAACACACCCACCCCCCUCAGGGGUCAAAACCCCAAAAUUUAAAAAAAUUCAAAUAUCAUUCUCUUUCGAUUUUUAUUGUUUCUCAGCCAUUCAGGGUCCUCAAAAUCACCACUCCCCCUCUGGGGACAAAGCCCCAAAAUUUCGAAAAUUUCAGGAAUUUCAAAUAUCAUUUCUUUCGAGAUGGAGUGUUCCAAACCAUUCGAGGUCCUGAACAUCCACUUUCCGCAAAAGUGAAAGCCCUAAAAUUUCGAAAUAUAAGAAUAUAUAUAAUUGGAUGUUGGCAUGUAUGACGUCGAUAAACUCUUACACCGUUUGACCGAUCGCCAUGAAAUUUGGCACAUCGAAGUGUUUUUAUCAUGAAGAAGGUUUUUAUGCUAUCCAUUUUUUUUUGUAACUCGCCGCUAGAUGGCGCUGUAGCGCAUCAACUUCUAAACCUUUCAACCGAUCGCCAUGGGUAAACAGAAAAUCAUAGGUCACAGAUACACAAACAGUAAUUAUGUAUCAUUUCUUAAUGUCCAACACACUGGACAUAUCGCUAUCCAUUUUGCUGUAACUCGCGGACAAUAUAUCACCCGGUGUUCAGCCCGGGCAAAGCCGGGUACUGCAGCUAGUAAAUAUAUAACCCUUAUAAUAUCGUCGAAUUGCAUUCUUAUUUCCAUUAUUUUUUUCACUUAUUGUGACAUAGUAGGCUAUUCAAAAAAUAUGACGAAGUUGCAUACAAAUAUAUCGGGGCUCCUUGCGCUGCCUAAUGUUUCAAAAUGCUCUCGCUGAAAAUAAUAUAAUGACUUCAUCUAACUUAAGAGCAUUUAUUCAACUUCUAAAAAUCGUAAAAAUCGUACUUUAUUCAUAAGAAAAUAAACAUUAAUGUUUAUAUUUAAAAAAAUGUAUUUCACUGGGUGCUUCAUUCUGUAUAUUAUUUUUGUUUUUAUCUUCUGCCAGCCAUUUUACAAAACAGAUAAUGCGCGUUAGAUAUUUUGACCUUGAGUGCUUUGCCCUGUGUCGUGCAUCUCUGCGCCCGGCGAGCCGAGCCAGUCGCUCGGGGAGAGUGUUUAUUAGGCUAACGCUAUGUCACUUGCUGUGUGUUUGUAACGCCUACCUGCGGGCAGAGCUUUCCCAGCAUGUGGUGCCUGUCUGUGGGUGGUGCCUACCAACUGCCCCGCGAGGAGCCACAACGCUGGCGUACGAAACCAUAGUAGAGUAGAAGAUGCCGUAUGUAAUGCCCUGGAGCAUUUCAACUGGCAGAAACCACCAUGGAUUGGAGAGUGACGCAUAGAGAAGGAAACGAAUACCAUAGCCAAGCAGAACUAAUGACAUGGCAUGUACGUGUCCUAGUUUCUUAAGUAUGUAGCCUGAAAAAAAAAAAAAACAUAACACACAAUUUCUGUCAAAAUAUGUUCUGCAUAUCAAUUACUGUGAUUAUUACAGCCUAACUACUACCCUACAAAUCUAAAGGGAUAAAAGUACAUAUGUUGUGAAUUACAUAAAUGUGUAACACCUAAAUUCACAUACAUUUGCAGGAUAAAUACAUUUUUGAAAUUUAACUUGUAGUACAGCUAGUAAAAGUUAGAUAGUUCCAACUAGAUGUUCCUAUUCACAAAAUAACUCACCGCUAACUCUAUCCACAACAGGAAAAAAUCAUAAAACUGUUCUUUUAACUGGAUUCACAUUACAUUUUACAUCUUACUAUCAUAUAAUAACAUAUUCCCAUGGCCUAGAUAAAACAGCAAAGAUGGCUUAGAUAACCCCAGUAAGUACAGCAAGUACUAGCAGCCAAUUUUCACUAAUGACCGUAAACUUCAAAGUCUAUUAAAUUUGAAAAACUAAAGUGCACAUGGAAAUAAAAUUGUACAGUUGCAUUACACAAGAAAUUUAAUUUAAUGAGAUCAGCUAUGAUGAAUUCAUUUUAUAAGUAAUAAUCCUAUUACCUGAUAAGAAAAAGAAUGGUAACUCUCCUCCAAAACACUGCACACCAACCAAUAAACCUUCAAGUGUUUUCAUCCAUCGCUGAUCCACUUCACUUGAUAAGUCUUCUAAGUGCCUACCAACAAAAUACACAGUUCCAGUAUUGUCAUUCGGAAGUUAUUCUUGGUCAUGAAUAGCAUGGCUAAUAACGUGCAAUAGAGUUUUUAACUAACUGAGAGACCUGAAAAGAAAUACCUAUAUCACAGGACCUCAAUCAACAGCAUAUGAAUCUUUUGACGAGUAAAACUGGACUCUUGAUGAUCCGCAGCGCCCAUCCAUCUGUUUCCCAUCCGUCCGUCAAUCACGUGACCUCAAUCCAAUCAGAAGGCCCGAAAAAUUCUGUCCGUCCAUAAAAGCUCCCCAAAACUUUAACUUUUGACAGAUGGAUGGAUGAAAUUAUAACCAAAAUGUUACCAAGAAAUUGAGGCAACCUUAAUCUUAAAAGGUUUUGGAAUUUGUUUAUUUGUUUAGCUACUUACAUUAAAUGUAUUUAACUUACGUUUGAACACAUUUUUCAGUUUGAUUUUCAAUUCAAAAAUUGACCUAGACAUUAAAGUUGACAUUAAUUACAUAUGAGAAAACUGAAAAUAUGUAAAUAAAUAUUAGAGUGAAAAAAAAAUCAAGUUUAAUGAUUAUUAAAUGCUUAACUUUCAUGAUUUGCCAAUCUAAUCUUCCUACGUAAGAGAAAUUGUUGCCACCAUUUGAGACUUCUCUUCUAGUUUGUUGGUAGUAUCAAAAUGUAAAAUAAAAGUAUUUGAUGGAUGAAUGGAUGGUGGACGGAUGGGUGACAGAUGGCCGUGUCGGAUCAUUGAGAGUCCAACUUAAUGAAUAAAUCUGUACUUGUUUGGAUACUGGUAUUUGUUCAUGGUUUACAAUGUAAAUAAUACUUUCAUGCUCCACACACAUGUGUUAAUGAACUAACACUUUGCAUGACUCAGUUGUCUAAUUUAUUGUUUAUAAAGUUAUUUGGAGAAUUAGAGCAAGAAAGAGUGAAUAAAUUAAUGAAUUUUAGAUUUGGCAUUUCGUAGAAAACCUAGCCCAAGGAACCUAGCAGCUAAUCCUGUGCGGAUAUUCAAAUUUCUGAAUACA